Molecule: ribosomal RNA, 477 nt
Filed under: uncultured bacterium
Lineage: Bacteria
Description: bacterial SSU rRNA
Rfam family: Bacterial small subunit ribosomal RNA
Source: RNAcentral
UUCGCAAUGCCCGAAAGGGUGACGAAGCGACGCCGCGUGCGGGAAGAAGGCCUUCGGGUUGUGAACCGCUGUCGGGAGUUAGGAAAUGCAAGGAUGUUAAUAGCGUCCUUGCUUGACUAAGGCUCCGGAGGAAGCCACGGCUAACUCUGUGCCAGCAGCCGCGGUAAUACAGAGGCGGCAAGCGUUGUUCGGAAUUAUUGGGCGUAAAGAGCACGUAGGCGGCCGUGUAAGUCGGUUGUGAAAGCCUUCCGCUCAACGGGAGAACGGCAUCCGAUACUGCAUGGCUCGAGUGCGGGAGGGGAGAGUGGAACUUCUGGUGGAGCGGUGAAAUGCGUAGAUAUCAGAAGGAACACCGGCGGCGAAGGCGACUCUCUGGCCCGUAACUGACGCUGAGUGUGCGAAAGCUAGGGGAGCAAACGGGAUUAGAUACCCCGGUAGUCCUAGCCGUAAACGAUGGGCACUAAGUAGAGGGGUUUU